RNAcentral lists this ribosomal RNA (488 nucleotides) under uncultured bacterium. RNAcentral's name for it is "partial 16S ribosomal RNA". It matches the Rfam family "Bacterial small subunit ribosomal RNA", at positions 28 to 507 of the family's 1533-position model. The record is from RNAcentral.
GACGAACGCUGGCGGCGUGCUUAACACAUGCAAGUCGAACGGAAAGGCCCUGCUUGCGUGGGGUGCUCGAGUGGCGAACGGGGGAGUAACACGUGAGUAACCUGCCCUUGACUUUGGGAUAACUUCAGGAAACUGGGGCUAAUACCGGAUAGGAGAUCCUGCUGCAUGGUGGGGGUUGGAAAGUUUCGGCGGUUGGGGAUGGACUGGCGGCUGAGCAGCUAGGUGGUGGGGUAGUGGCUGGCCAAGGCUUUGACGGGUAGCCGGCCUGAGAGGGUGACCGGCCACACUGGCACUGAGACACGGUCCAGACUCCUACGGGAGGCAGCAGUGGGGAAUAUUGGACAAUGGGCGCAAGCCUGAUCCAGCCAGACCGCGUGUGUGAAGAAGGCCUUCGGGUUGUAAAGCCCUUUUGUUGGGAAAGAAAAGCAGCAGGUUAAUACCCCGCUGUUCUGACGGUACCCAAAGAAUAAGCACCGGCUAACUUCGUG